Molecule: ribosomal RNA, 396 nt
Filed under: uncultured bacterium
Lineage: Bacteria
Description: partial 16S ribosomal RNA
Rfam family: Bacterial small subunit ribosomal RNA
Source: RNAcentral
AUACGUAUGGAGCAAGCGUUAUCCGGAUUUACUGGGUGUAAAGGGAGCGUAGACGGCAUAGCAAGUCUGAAGUGAAAUCCCAUGGCUUAACCAUGGAACUGCUUUGGAAACUGCCAGGCUAGAGUGCAGGAGAGGUAAGCGGAAUUCCUAGUGUAGCGGUGAAAUGCGUAGAUAUUAGGAGGAACACCAGUGGCGAAGGCGGCUUACUGGACUGUAACUGACGUUGAGGCUCGAAAGCGUGGGGAGCAAACAGGAUUAGAUACCCUGGUAGUCCACGCUGUAAACGAUGAUUACUAGGUGUUGGGGACCAAAGGUCCUCGGUGCCGCCGCAAACGCAUUAAGUAUUCCACCUGGGGAGUACGAUCGCAAGAUUGAAACUUAAAUGAAUUGACGGGG